AUGACGAAACGCAGAGCUUAUGCCCAGCCCUUGGGAAGGCUUUUCCCUCUGUUCACGUCCAGUGACCGCACGAACACCUCAAGCCGACUGACGUGCCUGUCCUCAGCCGGGGACGGGCCUAGAACAGUGCCAGCGCGCAGGGACCGGGCACGGCAGGGGCAAGGAAGAAGGCUGGGGCUCAGUCCCGGCAGCCAGCGCGAGCAGAGCGGUACAGAGCAGGCCGGCCCGCACCUUCGCUCCGCAGAACGCACGGAGCGCAGCGCCGCGCGGCCGUCCCACCCCGCGCCAGGGGUAACGCGAGGCCCACGCUCUGCGGGACGCACCCGGGCCGGGAGCGCCGCGACGGAAGGGUGGCACCCGGGGAACGAGCCGGGCCCGGCGGCACAGGUACCGCCGGAAAGCGGCCGCGGGGAGCGGCCCAGAGGCCAGAGGGUGGGCCGGGAGGGCGCCCAGCUGGGCCGGGCCGGGGGGAGGCAGCAGAGGAGGGGGAGGGCGGCGCCGGCGCCGCUCACAUACUCACUGCUGGCCGCACCGGGACGCGCCGAGCCGGAAGUGACAGCCUUCGCCCCGCCCCCUCGGGGCGCGUGUUUCCGGGCCCGCCCCCCGUUCCCCCGCGCCGGCCCUGUGCGGGUUGGGCGCUCGGGGUGGGAUGGAGCCUGCUGUGACCUUGCUGCUUCCUCCCAGCACCCGAGGGAAUGGCACGGGGCUGCGUCAGGGGAGGGUCGGGGAGGGGGAGUGAGAGAAGGGCUGUGCCCUGACGGUACAGCUCCCCGGGGCAGUGGGCACGGCCCCGAGCUGCUGGAGUUCAGGGAGCGCUGGAGACGCCGCUCGGACAUGGGUGUGCGCUUGGGUGCUGCUGCGCGGAGCCGGGGCUUGGACUCGGUGGUCCUUCCGUCUGGGAUGUCCUGUGGUUCUGAGGAGAGAAGUCACCUGGGUGAGACAGGAGCCCAGGGAGCGUCGAGGCCGGCUGCUGUCAGAGGGAUGGAUUGGGCAUCGCAGGGAGCUGCCCGUGGACCUGCUGAGAAUCGCCGAGGACACGACCUCGAAUGGCCCUGGCAAAGGCGAUUCCAGGCGCAGUGGGGAGCAGGAGCCUCCUGUCCGAGCUGCGUGCCAAACCCUGCAGUCAAGGCACGGCCAGAUAUGUCAGUCCUGAACAGUGGCAGGUUUGGAGGACGCGGAGGAUUUGGCCUCUCUUGUGCAGGGCGUUUGGGAGGAGAAGAGAGCUCUUGCAGCUCAAAUGAUGAAAACAGACAACCCUUUCCAUGCACGGGGCUUGCUGGGUGGCUGUGCGCUGGGUGGAAGCUGCUUGAUGGCGCACAGCUUGCAGAUGCUAGCAUCCAAAGGGUAUUAAAACCAUCUAUGCCAUCUUCUGUCUACAGGUCCAGCUCCAGUCAUUAG
This 1398-nucleotide long non-coding RNA is filed under the name Numida meleagris (helmeted guineafowl). RNAcentral's name for it is "lncRNA (ENSNMEG00000014404.1)". The record is from RNAcentral. Lineage: Eukaryota; Metazoa; Chordata; Aves; Galliformes; Numididae.